Long non-coding RNA from Camelus ferus (Wild Bactrian camel), 105 nucleotides. It matches the Rfam family "ST7 antisense RNA 1 conserved region 2". The record is from Rfam. NCBI's taxonomy places the organism in Eukaryota, Metazoa, Chordata, Mammalia, Artiodactyla, Camelidae.
CCCUCAGCGCGCCACUUGGCCUGUCUUUCUAAAUAUUAGCAUAUUAUAAAUGGCAUCAGAACGUGAGGGGCACGGGCCACGUGAUCCUUCCAAGAAAGCCACUCG